Long non-coding RNA from Xenopus tropicalis (tropical clawed frog), 730 nucleotides. RefSeq lists it as uncharacterized. The transcript is spliced from 4 exons. Lineage: Eukaryota; Metazoa; Chordata; Amphibia; Anura; Pipidae. The record is from RefSeq and is a predicted model, not a curated record.
AUUCCAUCUUUUUUUUUUAACAUCACCUGGAGAGCUUCAUUUAAGAGGUAAUGUAGCAAAUGGGAACCAGUGAAACAGUUUAUGAUUUCUUCUACAGCAAGUCUCAAUUUACUGGGGGGGGGGCAACUUGUUAGGCGGCUUAUCUCUUUCCUGGGACUGUGCUUCUCAUUAUCAAAAAGGGCACGGGCCCAGCAAGAAAAGCCUUUAGAUCUGACAGCGGUAUUGGGCAGGAACUCCUUUCUCAGGGGGUAUUUUAAGGGGUAAUUCUCCUGCCUGGGUAUCCGCUUUCAGCUCUAUAGUAGUGCUGGGCGGGAAAAUUCGCUGCUCGCCAAAAAUUAAAUAAAUUGUACAUAGAACACAGUAUUGGGAAGUGCUAACGUGAUGUUUUUCUUUUUUUCAGCGAGCGAUGAACAAAGUGUUCAAGCGUUUGAGGCGUUUUUUCCCUUGCUUCGGCAAGGAGGAGCCCACUGAGGAGCCCCAGGAAUUUAUCUGCCUGGUACCAUCGGUUGGAUCUGGCAACGCCGUUUGCCAAGAGGAGAAACCAGAGCACAAAAUGGAGCCGGCUAUAGACAACUGCCGGGUAAGCAUAAGAGAGGGGAGAGUAGGGGGCAAAUAAAAAUCACUCUAUAUUUUACGUAAGGCUGUAUAUUAGCUGCUUUAUUACAACGUGCAACAUCUUUCUCUUACCUUUUCUUUAAUCAGGAGACUCCAGAAAUCCCUGACACGGACA